UUAUGAUAACCUGGGAUCAUC
RNAcentral lists this non-coding RNA (21 nucleotides) under Caenorhabditis elegans. The record is from RNAcentral. Lineage: Eukaryota; Metazoa; Nematoda; Chromadorea; Rhabditida; Rhabditidae.